RNAcentral lists this ribosomal RNA (542 nucleotides) under Idiomarina zobellii. RNAcentral describes it as "bacterial SSU rRNA". It matches the Rfam family "Bacterial small subunit ribosomal RNA", at positions 996 to 1533 of the family's 1533-position model. The record is from RNAcentral. Lineage: Bacteria; Pseudomonadati; Pseudomonadota; Gammaproteobacteria; Alteromonadales; Idiomarinaceae.
UUUUCCAGAGAUGGAUUAGUGCCUUCGGGAACACUGAGACAGGUGCUGCAUGGCUGUCGUCAGCUCGUGUUGUGAGAUGUUGGGUUAAGUCCCGCAACGAGCGCAACCCUUAUCCUUAGUUGCCAGCGGCUCGGCCGGGAACUCUGGGGAGACUGCCGGUGAUAAACCGGAGGAAGGUGGGGACGACGUCAAGUCAUCAUGGCCCUUACGGGAUGGGCUACACACGUGCUACAAUGGCGCGUACAAAGGGCAGCGAACCUGCGAAGGUAAGCGAAUCUCAUAAAGCGCGUCGUAGUCCGGAUUGGAGUCUGCAACUCGACUCCAUGAAGUCGGAAUCGCUAGUAAUCGUGGAUCAGAAUGCCACGGUGAAUACGUUCCCGGGCCUUGUACACACCGCCCGUCACACCAUGGGAGUGGGCUGCACCAGAAGUGGUUAGUUUAACCUUCGGGAGAACGAUCACCACGGUGUGGUUCAUGACUGGGGUGAAGUCGUAACAAGGUAGCCGUAGGGGAACCUGCGGCUGGAUCACCUCCUUACAUUA